GGGGACAGAGCUCAGUUGGUAGAGUGCUUGUCUUGCAUACACAAAACCCUGGGUUCAAUUCCCAGGAUCACA
This 72-nucleotide transfer RNA is filed under the name Marmota monax (woodchuck). Its description in RNAcentral is "tRNA.Ala". The stretch from base 9 to 65 matches the Rfam family "tRNA", at positions 9 to 63 of the family's 71-position model. Rfam says of the family: Transfer RNA (tRNA) molecules are approximately 80 nucleotides in length. Their secondary structure includes four short double-helical elements and three loops (D, anti-codon, and T loops). Lineage: Eukaryota; Metazoa; Chordata; Mammalia; Rodentia; Sciuridae. The record is from RNAcentral.